Molecule: ribosomal RNA, 217 nt
Filed under: uncultured Staphylococcus sp.
Lineage: Bacteria; Bacillati; Bacillota; Bacilli; Caryophanales; Staphylococcaceae
Description: partial 16S ribosomal RNA
Rfam family: Bacterial small subunit ribosomal RNA
Source: RNAcentral
AUAACUUCGGGAAACCGGAGCUAAUACCGGAUAAUAUAUUGAACCGCAUGGUUCAAUAGUGAAAGACGGUUUUGCUGUCACUUAUAGAUGGAUCCGCGCCGCAUUAGCUAGUUGGUAAGGUAACGGCUUACCAAGGCAACGAUGCGUAGCCGACCUGAGAGGGUGAUCGGCCACACUGAACUGAGACACGGUCCAGACUCCUACGGGAGGCAGCAGC